Molecule: ribosomal RNA, 253 nt
Filed under: uncultured bacterium
Lineage: Bacteria
Description: partial 16S ribosomal RNA
Rfam family: Bacterial small subunit ribosomal RNA
Source: RNAcentral
UACGUAGGGGGCAAGCGUUGUCCGGAUUUAUUGGGCGUAAAGAGCGUGUAGGCGGCCAUACAGGUCCGUUGUGAAAACUGGAGGCUUAACCUCCAGACGUCGAUGGAAACCGUAUGGCUAGAGUCCGGAAGAGGAGAGUGGAAUUCCUGGUGUAGCGGUGAAAUGCGUUGAGAUCGGAAGGAACGCCCGUGGCGAAAGCGAGGUCCUGGACGUCAUCUGACGCUGAGACGCGAAAGCUAGGGGAGCGAACGGG